UGAAAUACCACCCUUUAAUGUUUGAUGUUCUAACGUGGACCCGUAAUCCGGGUUGCGGACAGUGUCUGGUGGGUAGUUUGACUGGGGCGGUCUCCUCCUAAAGAGUAACGGAGGAGCACGAAGGUUGGCUAAUCCUGGUCGGACAUCAGGAGGUUAGUGCAAUGGCAUAAGCCAGCUUGACUGCGAGCGUGACGGCGCGAGCAGGUGCGAAAGCAGGUCAUAGUGAUCCGGUGGUUCUGAAUGGAAGGGCCAUCGCUCAACGGAUAAAAGGUACUCCGGGGAUAACAGGCUGAUACCGCCCAAGAGUUCAUAUCGACGGCGGUGUUUGGCACCUCGAUGUCGGCUCAUCACAUCCUGGGGCUGAAGUAGGUCCCAAGGGUAUGGCUGUUCGCCAUUUAAAGUGGUACGCGAGCUGGGUUUAGAACGUCGUGAGACAGUUCGGUCCCUAUCUGCCGUGGGCGCUGGAGAAUUGAGGGGGGCUGCUCCUAGUACGAGAGGACCGGAGUGGACGCAUCACUGGUGUUCGGGUUGUCAUGCCAAUGGCACUGCCCGGUAGCUAAAUGCGGAAGAGAUAAGUGCUGAAAGCAUCUAAGCACGAAACUUGCCCCGAGAUGAGUUCUCCCUGACUCCUUGAGAGUCCUGAAGGAACGUUGAAGACGACGACGUUGAUAGGCCGGGUGUGUAAGCGCAGCGAUGCGUUGAGCUAACCGGUACUAAUGAACCGUGAGGCUUAACCUUACAACGCCGAAG
RNAcentral lists this ribosomal RNA (750 nucleotides) under Escherichia coli. Its description in RNAcentral is "partial 23S ribosomal RNA". It matches the Rfam family "Bacterial large subunit ribosomal RNA", at positions 2193 to 2925 of the family's 2925-position model. Lineage: Bacteria; Pseudomonadati; Pseudomonadota; Gammaproteobacteria; Enterobacterales; Enterobacteriaceae. The record is from RNAcentral.